CGGAACGCCUAUCCCUAAAAAUUAAAACAUGAAGGUCAGUCAAUCCGGAAAAUAUCAAGAGCUUUUAAAGUUUCUUCAAGUGCAGUCGCAAAAACCAUCAAGCGCUAUGAGGAAACUGGCUCUCAUGAAGACCGCCUCAGGAAAGUAAGACCCAGAGUUACCUCUGCAGCCCUAAUAAAUGCUUCACAGAGUUCAAGUAACAGACACAUAUCAACAUCAACUGUUCAGAGGAGACUGUGUGAAUCAGGCCUUCUUGGUCAAAUUGCUGAAGGAAAAAAAACACUACUAAAGAACACUAAUAAUAAGAAGAGACUUGCUUGGGCCAAGAAACAGAGCAAUGGAUAUUAGACUGGUGGAAAUCUGUCCUUUUGUCUGAUGAGUCCAAAUUUUAGAUUUUUGGUUCCAACCGCCAAGUCUUUGUGAGACGCAGAGUAGGUGAAUGGAUGAUCUCCGCAUGUGUGGUUCCCACUGUGAAGCACGGAGGAGGAGGUGUGAUGGUGUGGGGUUGCUGUCUGUGAUUUAUUUAGAAUUCCAGGUACACUUAACCAGCAUGGCUACCACAGCAUUCUGCAGCGAUACGCCAUCCCAUCUGGUUUGAGCUUAGUGCGAGUAUCAUUUGUUUUUCAACAGGACAAUGACCCAAAACACACCUCCAGGCUGUGUAAUGCCGGUUUGACCAAGGAGAGUGAUGGAGUGCUGCAGAUGACCUGUCCUCCACAAUCCCCCAACUUCAACCCAAUUGAGAUGGUUUGAGAUGAGUUGGACCGCAGAGUGAAGGAAAAGCAGCCAACAAGUGCUCAGUACAUGUGGGAACUCCUUCAAGACUGUUGGAAAAACAUUCCUCAUGAAGCUGCUUGAGAGACUGCCAAGAGUGUGCAAAGCUGUCAUCAAGGCAAAGGUUGGAGAACCUAAAAUAUAAAAUAUAUUUUGAUUUGUUUAACACUUUUUUGGUUGCUACAUGAUUCCAUAUGUGUUUUAUCAUAGUGUUUAUGUCUUCAGUAUUAUUCUACAAUGUAGAAGAUAGUAAAAAUAAAGAAAAACUCUUUGAAUGAGUAGGUGUGUCCAAACUUUUGACUGUCUGUAUAAUUCCUUUCAGACAUUUUUUGUGUGUGUGUGAGGCUGUGUGCUGAGGAUCUGUGAAGUAGUUGGGUAAAGCCACAGGAGAGGUACAGGGGCCUCUCAGGAAGUCAUUGGAACCAGGAGUCCACAUGUUGUGAUGACAGCCACAGCCAGCCCGGCGGCUUACACACUGAAUUGUGUACAGUAUUGGCCUAAUUAGUUCUCUGUUGGCUGCUUGAAUUUACAGUUUUGUAUUACAGCAGUCUUCAGCAAUCCGCCACCCCUCCUCCAGCACCUCAUGCUGUACAUACUCACUCAGCCAGACACAAAAUACACACACAGAUAAGAAUACGAUACAGUAGCAGCUCAACUCUAUGUUCAGGGACUAACCACCACUUCGUUGAUAGUGUGGUUGAUUCAAAGUGUGUCUGUGUGAUCUUUUGGCAACAUGUGAGUGUCUUCCCUGAGAAAAUGGCAACACAGACAGUGAGGCAGCAUCCCACAGGAAAGGGCCUUUGUAGUCUGCCUACUCUCUGUCCUCACUUCCCACACUGCCGACAGACACAUCCCAAACACUACAGUUGGACUCGCAUCCCCUCUGUCCGCUCUGCUACUCACAAACAUGUGCCGAGACUCAUGGAACAAUUACAGUGUGCUAUUGAAGUUGCCAUCAAUGUCCCUGUGCCUUGCAUGGUAAAGGAAAAGACUGGGAAACUCUACAGGAGAAAAUACUGAUGCUGUGGUACACUCCCAUCGACGUGCCUGCCUAAGCUGUAAACUGGAUGCUCAGCAGGUGUUCAUCCUGGGGCCUAGCAGGGGCUGCCGCUGUGAUGUGCAGGAAUGUGUCGGGCGAGGGGGACACCAGGCUGGUGGAGCUGGAGAGGGAUUAGUGCCCAGCACCCACCAACCCCUCACAGCAGGAGCUGUCAUGUCAACCCAGCCUCACUCUGAUUGGGUAUUGGUCAGGGGACAGUUUCAGGUCACAGCACCGGCAGCCUUGAACGCUGGGCACACCAUUCUCUCUCACAAUGUACAGCAGGCAACAUAUACAUGCUCUGACAACCCACGGUGGAGCAACAAAAGAGGAAGGGGAGGUUGAGUCUCUAUCGAUUACCCUCUUCGGUAAUCUCCACCCAGCCAUUUCAAAACUGAGUUCUUCCCAGUAAAUUCUGGAAGUAAUUUAUAUCAUUUAACAUAUUCACAUUGUAUGUUUUGAAAGUGCAUUCUCCGGAUGAUUCUGUUGUGAUUCUGGGACAGUUCUCUCACUUCAUAGUGGAAACACCAUUCAUAGUUGUAGAGGGAGAGAGUUACGUAACAUUUCCCUCGGGUCAUAUUGCAUGUAGUAUCUGGCUACAGUAUGCACCAACAGUGUUCUGUAAUGUAAUGAUCCAUGUCUCUUAUGGUGUUCAAAUCGAAGUUUAUUGGUCACAUACACAGUUAAGCUGAUGUUAUAACGUGUGCAGAGAAAUGCUUCUGUUUCCGGCUCCUCAACAGUACAGUGUUAUUUCUCUAUUUCUCUUCUUAAGCUAUAUUAUGUAUCCUUCCCUUUCAGACCCACUCUAUUGGACUCAUUAGCUGUGGAAUACGACCGGAUCCAUAGACAUUCCAGGUCCAAUAUGAUUUCAGACGGAAUGUCAGGCAUUACAAAAUUGACCCUGGAGUGAUUUGUGGGAGAUGGAGGAGGAGAAGGACGAAAAAAGUUAACUGUGCAUGAUGGAGAAAAGGAAACAUCUCCCCAUCACAUCUACAGAAACCAGCACUUCACCAGAGACCCCCAGACAGACACAGGGAAGAGAGGAAGAGGGACCGAGGGGGGCGGGAGGUAGAGAGGGUCAACCAGGAUGUGGGCAGGUUUCUGCAGUCUUAUUGCCAGGACCGGCCGGGGGAGUGGGCGGUGUUCGUGCCCUGGGCCGAGAUGGCACAGAACUCGCUUCGCCACUCCUCCACUAACCUCUCAGGGUCAGACCGAGGCUCCUGCGAUGGACGACUGGUUCAGGCACGCGGAGGAGACAUGGGAGGCCACACAUGUUCACCUCCAGCGAGCUGCGCCUCGCCAGAAAACCAGCGCGGUCCGUCACCGCAGUGAGACCCCGGUGUUCGCACAGGGGUUUCUGGCUCUCGUCCCGAAACCUGGCCCUCCACCUGCCCUGCCGGAAGCUGGGUCCGCGGUUUGUGGGGCCCUUCAAAGUCCUGAGGAAGGUGAACAAGGUGUGUUACAGAUUACAGCUCCCUCUGAUUAUCGUACUAACCCCUCGUUCCAUGUGUCUCUCCUCAGGCCGGUGGUGGCUGGUCCACUCCAGGAAUCUGAGGCGAGGGAGGUCCCUCCGCCCCCUUUGGACAUCGAGGGGGCCCUGGUGUACUCCGUUCGUUCCAUCCUGGAUUCGAGGCAUCGGGCAGGGGGCCUUCAGUACCUUGUGGAGUGGGAGGGAUACGGUCCGGAGGAGAGGUGCUGGGUCCCGGUUGCGGAUGUUUUGGACCCCGAACUGCUGCGGGAGUUUCACCAUCGCCGGCUGGAUCGCCCUGCGCUUCGCCCUCCGCAUCGUCCUGAGGUCGGUGUCGGCGUGCCACUGGAGCCGCUCGUCAAGGGAGGGGUACUGUCACGACUUCCGCCGAAGUCGGCUCCUCUCCUUGUUCAGGCGGCGUUCGGCGAUCGACGUCACCGGCUUUCUAGCCAUCGCCGCUCCAUUUCUCAUAUGUCCAUUUGUUUUGUCUUGUUCCAUACACACCUGGUUUACAUUCCCCAAUCAAUCUACAUGUAUUUAGUCCUCUGUUCCCCAUCAUGUCUUUAUGUGUAAUUGUUUAUUGUUACGUGGGAUAUUUGUCAGGCGCUGCACUUUUGUUAUUAGACCGUGUUUUUGGCACUAGUAUGUUUUAGGUGCUGUCGUUGUUGACCGGUAUUAAAGUGCGCCUGUUUAUUAUACUCCAAGGGAAGCUUCUUCUUCAUGACACCCACCAGUAUUAUUAGAAACAUCAGUCAAGCUGUUAGGGCCUUGCAAACAGAAGUGCCUGCUGAUGUCCCAUUCCCCAUGUGAUGUAUGGUUAGCCCUCACUCGACAAACAUGUAGGGCAAGGGCCAUGCACCAGGGCACCCCUUGUUGAUGAAGUGGCACCACCCUAAACAAAUUCCCACAAAGGCAGGAAGGGCAGGGGCAUUGAACCCCUACUCCCUAGAAAAAGGCCUUCCCGUCCACUCAGCCCUGUGUACAGGGCAUUGACUGUAAGGACACACAGGGAGGAGCACAACGAUGGGCAAUACAGGCUGUUUUUCCUGUUGAAGCAUUCUUUGUGUGAGAGAAGAGGACUCCUCUCUGGAAACACAGGAAGGCUCACCAGGGGUCGGCAGAGGAAUGUAAACACACACAUAGACUCCCUCCACACCACAGAGUGUGCUGUGUGCAAACUUGACAUAUCCCAUAGGUCUUCCCCCGGAAUGAAAAACAUAAACAUCACGCUGAUUUCACUUGUGUGGAUAAUGGACGGAUGUUAACUUGCUUACCCGUAAAACUUCAAUUAAAUGCUGAGUCUCAAAUAGACUUCAGCCAACCAAGUCAUAGACGGUUCUCUCUGCUGCCGCACGGCAAGUGGUACCGUUGCACCAAGUCUGGACCCAACAGGACCCAGCUUCUAUCCCCAAGCCAUAAGGCUGCUAAAUAGUUAGUUAAAUAGUUAACCUAAUUGCUACCCAGACUAAAAAGGCAAAAAAGAUCAUCAAGGACAACAACCACCCGAGCCACUGCCUUUUCACCCCGCUAUCAUCCAGAAGGCGAGGCCAACAGACUGUUAAAUAGCCAUCACUAGCACAUUAGAGUCUGCUGCCCUAUAUACAUAGACUUGAAAUCACUGGUGACUUUAGUAAUGGAACACUAGUCACUUUAAUAAUCUUUACAUACUGCUUUACUCAUCUCAUAUGUAUAUACUGUAUUCUAUUCUACUGUAUCUUAUUCUAUGCCGCUCUGACAUUGCUCAUCCAAAUAUUUAUAUAUUCUUAAUUCCAUUCCUUUACUUAAGAUUUGUGUGUAUUGUUGUGAAAUGUUAGAUAUUACUUGUUAGAUAUUACUGCACUGUUGGAGCUAGAAACACACGCAUUUCGCUACACUCGCAAUAACAUCUGCUAAACACGUGUAUGUGACCAAAAAAAUGUGAUUUGAUUAGAUUUUGACUAUCGGCAUUGACCCUUUUUGCACUAACUUUUUUUGACUCAUCACAUACGCUGCUGCUACUGUUUACUAUCUGUCACUUUACUCCGAGUUAUAUGUCACCUAAAACACUCACCCCGCCCUCAACCUCAAUGCUCUCCAGAGGGUAGUGCGGUCUGCACAACACAUCACCGGGGGCAAACUAACUGCCCUCCAAGACACCUACCGCACCCGAUGUCACAGGAAGGUCAAAAAGAUCAUCAAGGACAACAACCACUGCCUGUUCACCCCGCUAUCAUCCAGAAGGCGAGGUCAGUACAGGUGCAUCAAAGCUGGGACCGAGAGACUGAAAAACAGCUUCUAUCUCAAAGCCAUCAGACUGUUAAACAGCCAUCACUAACAUUGAGUGGCUGCUGCGAACAUACAGACACAAAUCUCUGGCCACUUAAAUAAAUUGACUUAAUAAAUGUAUCACUAGUCACUUUAAAUAACGCCACUUUAAUAAGGUUUACAUAUCCUACAUUACUUAUCUCAUAUGUAUAUACUGUAUUCUAUACCAUCUACUGCAUCUUGCCUAUGCAGCACGGCCAUCGCUCAUCCAUAUAUUUAUAUGUACAUAUUCUUAUUCAUCCCUUUACAUUUGUGUGUAUAAGGUAGUCAUUGUGAAUUUGUUAGAUUACUGUUAGAUUACUUACGGGAAGGACCCGUAAGUAAGCAUUUCACUGUUAGUCUACACCUGUUGUUUACAAAGCAUGUAGUGAAUAAAAUUGUAUUUUAUUUGGCCAUGCAUGACUGACCGUAGCGGCAAAGCCAGCAAAAUGCAAAGGGUUUGUUUCAAACUGUCUCUUUUCAUGUACUGUAGUAUCUAAAAGACAGGUCUUCUGCUGCCAAAUCUGUACCCCUAGCCACUAGCUAAAUCCACACAGAUUUACCCAUGACUUGACUUUGGAACAUUGUUAUUUUUUCUUUGCAUCAGGGUUUUUUCCCAUCCUGCCAAAUGAUGUUGGUUGUUCUGUUAGAAGUGAGCUCGGGAUCAAAAGGAGGGAUGGUGUGAUGGGUGUAUGGGCAUGGGGGGGUGUUGCAGCUGUCUGGAUCAAAUGGAUCAGAGUCAACUGGGGUGGGGUGGUUUAGGCAGGGGGCUCAUAGGGGACACCUAUUCUUCUGUGUCAUAGCCAGCCUGCACGGCACAUAUGCCAGUCCCAAGGCCACUCUGAAAGCCAUGCCCCCAUGCAGCCUUCUCAACUGUAACUCUGUGUAAUAACAUGGCCUGUUCUUCCAUUAAUGGUUUCCAUGAUGCGGCCGUCCUCUUCACUCCACUGAAAUGUGUGUGAGUGAUAUAUAUAUAUAUAUGUCCCCAGCAGACACACGUUGUGAAUGUGUGUACAUGAGCACUUUGUUUGAGUUUUGUUUUCAGACACCAAGACAAUAGAAAUGCCAAAACAGAUGUAGAAACAGUUAGAGUGGUGUUGCGGAUGUUUGUACUCCCUCUCUCCCCCUCGCCUUGUGAUUGCACAUCAACGUUGUAGAGUAAGUGUUAAAGUGCCUGUGAUUGAUUUGGUUGUUUAGCUCCUUGAAGCAGUAGUCUGUUAAUGAAGGAGCCCUGAACUCGGACUGCAGAGAGUGGUGAGAUCACAGACAGCCCCUGGACAACACUGUCCUUGGAACAAUGGUUAACCCUAAUUAGAAGUGUUAUUUGUAACAUAGGCAGCUUUUUGUGCAGCCACUGGCCAUUGUCAUUUAACCCAAAAGGCGAUAAUGCUUGAUAGUGGGUUAGGUGUUUGAAGGUUUUAAUGGUACCUGGUAAAAGUGGUGAACAGUUGAGAACAGCUGACAUGGGUUAAGGAAGUGAGAGAAGCACUGUCAUGGCAAAUACACACACUCCCUACUGUUUGUUUGCUCCCAGCUUGGGGAGGUGGGCUGAGCUGGUUUCAACACUGACUGAUUUAUAGUUUGGCGCUGUCUAUCAAGCAGCUGACAGAUGGACAUUGCACUGCAACCUCAGCAGCACAGCAGACACAUCACUUUCCAAACUCCAUCCAUUUCACUACCAACUGGAAUGCUAAGGAUAAGUCAAUGGGGCAUUCUUUUCUACACUUUUGACUACUUUAAUACACAUAUAAGUGAAUUUGUCCCAAUACUUUUGGUCCCCUAAAAUGGGGGACUAUGUACAAAAAGUGCUUUAAUUUCUAAAUGGAAAAGACCCUCAAAUUAAAGCUGACAGUCUGCACUUUAUUGUCACAGUCAUUGUAUCAUUUCAAAUCGAAAGUCCUGGAGUACAGAACCAAAAC
RNAcentral lists this long non-coding RNA (7483 nucleotides) under Salmo salar (Atlantic salmon). Its description in RNAcentral is "lncRNA (ENSSSAG00000095599.1)". Lineage: Eukaryota; Metazoa; Chordata; Actinopteri; Salmoniformes; Salmonidae. The record is from RNAcentral.